ACGAAAUCCAUCACCGAGGACAAGGGAACACCGAUUGAGCUGCUGAUACUGGCACAGGAGUCGAUCUAAAGCUUCACACCGGCUGCAGUUCAUGAGAUAAGUGUCCAAAUUUCCAAAAUCCUUUCCUCCUAUCAUUCCUACAACCUAUCGCAUUCCAUAAUAACGUCCAUUAUCCAAUUCUAUUUAUAGACUAAAGCUUGUUGCAUGCAAUCGUACCUAUUCACAAAUAAUUAAAUCCUCAAUUUUAUUCGUAAUUGCCAAAUUAUACAAGAUUUUAGUUUGCAUAAAACCGUUAUAUUUUUCUACCUUCAAAUCAAAUAUAAAAAUAAAAUUUGCAUAUUUUCACACUUUCAAUUUCAAAUCAUUUUCAAUUCAUUCAAUACAAUAAUUUACUUGGUAAUUAAGUUACUUUUGCACAAUUCAUACGUAAUUUAACGCCAAGUUGGUGGCCCAUCUAUUCAAUUUACUUGCACUUCACCGUGCCAAUUAUUUCGUGUCGGCUAAAACUAUUUGCCGAAUAUUCCAGCUGUUCCGGCUCUGGCCUACACUCAGCCUUACGCUGCAUCACCAACGAGACACUUCAUGAUCGGCAGACCGAUGACAUCGUUGCCAGCGCCAGAUCUACACAACUCUAAAGAAACUAGUCUUCGGCGAUACGAACGUCUUGAGAAGCUGCGACAGCACUUUUGGAAUAGAUGGCAGAAGGAAUAUAUUGGAGAACUACAACAGAGGACCAAAUGGAAGGACAAUAUCACAAAACUCAAAAUUGGAGACAUGGUACUGAUACACGAGGAACACGUACCACCUCUGAACUGGAGACUAGGCAGAGUCGCCAGACUAUUUCCUGGUACUGAUGGGAUCUCCCGGGUAGCAGAUGUCAACACCGUGCGAGGAUGCGUAAGAAGACCGCUCACUCGUCUAUGUCCACUACCAACCGAAGAUUCUUCAUGUUGAAAGUUCCUUUCAACGAGGCGGGAAGAUGUUGCGGCUCAAUCCGUCUAUCAAGCGUCUCUAAUACUUAAUUGCAUAACUUAUAAUUAAAUAAUCAAUUAACUUCCUUUCCUAACUAAAUCGUAAUUUCUAAUACAUGUAAUUGUUUGCUAUUGCUUUGUCGCAGGCGUUCUUAAACUUCAUACUAAGUAUUUUGUACUGUCAAAAUCACUUACCUUCCAGUCGCCGCGCGAUACGCACUAUUGUAAUACAUUUUCAAAUAAUACGAAAUAUUCAUCAAA
Molecule: long non-coding RNA, 1232 nt
Organism: Ostrinia nubilalis (European corn borer)
Lineage: Eukaryota; Metazoa; Arthropoda; Insecta; Lepidoptera; Crambidae
Exons: 2
Source: RefSeq, a predicted model, not a curated record